AUUGAACGCUGGCGGAAUGCUUUACACAUGCAAGUCGAACGGCAGCACGGACUUCGGUCUGGUGGCGAGCGGCGAACGGGUGAGUAAUGUAUCGGAACGUGCCCAGUAGUGGGGGAUAACGUAGUGAAACUUACGCUAAUACCGCAUACGAUCUAUGGAUGAAAGCGGGGGAUCGCAAGACCUCGCGCGAUUGGAGCGGCCGAUAGCAGAUUAGGUAGUUGGUGGGGUAAAGGCCCACCAAGCCAACGAUCUGUAGCUGGUCUGAGAGGACCACCAGCCACACUGAAACUGAGACACGGUCCAGACUCCUACGGGAGGCAGCAGUGGGGAAUUUUGGACAAUGGGCGAAAGCCUGAUCCAGCCAUUCCGCGUGCAGGAUGAAGGCCCUCGGGUUGUAAACUGCUUUUGUACAGAACGAAAAGGUUUCUACUAAUACUAGGAGCUCAUGACGGUACUGUAAGAAUAAGCACCGGCUAACUACGUGCCAGCAGCCGCCGUAA
RNAcentral lists this ribosomal RNA (500 nucleotides) under uncultured bacterium. RNAcentral describes it as "partial 16S ribosomal RNA". It matches the Rfam family "Bacterial small subunit ribosomal RNA", at positions 30 to 523 of the family's 1533-position model. The record is from RNAcentral.